Molecule: ribosomal RNA, 253 nt
Filed under: uncultured bacterium
Lineage: Bacteria
Description: partial 16S ribosomal RNA
Rfam family: Bacterial small subunit ribosomal RNA
Source: RNAcentral
UACGUAGGGUGCGAGCGUUAAUCGGAAUUACUGGGCGUAAAGCGUGCGCAGGCGGUUUUGCAAGCCGGAUGUGAAAUCCCCGGGCUUAACCUGGGAAUGGCAUUUGGGACUGCAAGGCUGGAGUGCGGCAGAGGAGACUGGAAUUCCUGGUGUAGCAGUGAAAUGCGUAGAUAUCAGGAGGAACACCGAUGGCGAAGGCGGAUCUCUGGGCCAUUACUGACGCUGAGGAGCGAAAGCGUGGGGAGCGAACAGG